Molecule: ribosomal RNA, 683 nt
Filed under: uncultured Lachnospiraceae bacterium
Lineage: Bacteria; Bacillati; Bacillota; Clostridia; Lachnospirales; Lachnospiraceae
Description: bacterial SSU rRNA
Rfam family: Bacterial small subunit ribosomal RNA
Source: RNAcentral
AAGUCGAGCGAAGCACUUAUUAUUGAAUCUUCGGAGGAUUUAGUAAGUGACUGAGCGGCGGACGGGUGAGUAACGCGUGGGUAACCUACCCUGUACAGGGGGAUAACAGUCAGAAAUGACUGCUAAUACCGCAUAAGACCACAGCACCGCAUGGUGCAGGGGUAAAAACUCCGGUGGUACAGGAUGGACCCGCGUCUGAUUAGCUGGUUGGUGAGGUAACGGCUCACCAAGGCGACGAUCAGUAGCCGGCUUGAGAGAGUGAACGGCCACAUUGGGACUGAGACACGGCCCAGACUCCUACGGGAGGCAGCAGUGGGGAAUAUUGCACAAUGGAGGAAACUCUGAUGCAGCGACGCCGCGUGAAGGAAGAAGUAUCUCGGUAUGUAAACUUCUAUCAGCAGGGAAGAAAAUGACGGUACCUGACUAAGAAGCCCCGGCUAACUACGUGCCAGCAGCCGCGGUAAUACGUAGGGGGCAAGCGUUAUCCGGAUUUACUGGGUGUAAAGGGAGCGUAGACGGACGGGCAAGUCUGAUGUGAAAGCCCNGGGGCUUAACCCCCGGGACUGCAUUGGAAACUGUCCAUCUUGAGUGCCGAAGAGGUAAGCGGAAUUCCUAGUGUAGCGGUGAAAUGCGUAGAUAUUAGGAGGAACACCAGUGGCGAAGGCGGCUUACUGGACGGUAAC